CCUAUCUGUUGCGAGCGUAAGAAAUUUGAGUAGAUCUGACUUUAGUACGAGAGGACCGAGUUGGACUAACCUCUGGUGUACCUGUUGUGGUGUCAACUGCACUGCAGGGUAGCUACGUUGGGCCAGGAUAAGCGCUGAAAGCAUCUAAGCGCGAAACCUACCUCAAGAUGAGGCUUCUUUUAAGAGUCGUUAGAGACGAUGACGUUGAUAGGCUGUAAGUGUAAAAUCGGAGACGAUUGUAGCUGAGCA
Molecule: ribosomal RNA, 249 nt
Filed under: Pseudo-nitzschia fraudulenta
Lineage: Eukaryota; Bacillariophyta; Bacillariophyceae; Bacillariales; Bacillariaceae
Description: partial Bacterial large subunit ribosomal RNA
Rfam family: Bacterial large subunit ribosomal RNA
Source: RNAcentral